RNAcentral lists this non-coding RNA (26 nucleotides) under Homo sapiens (human). The record is from RNAcentral. Lineage: Eukaryota; Metazoa; Chordata; Mammalia; Primates; Hominidae.
UGAUUGCUCUUGCUUUUGGUGUCAGC